GUAAAAAGAUUCCAUAUCAAUUGUCAGCAUGGGUGCAUACUUCAAAGCCUGCAUUUAGUAAAGAAAAGCAAGAUGACUUUCAAAUCUAUAAUACCGUCCGUUAGAAAAAGAAUGUACACUUCCUAUAAACAAAACCAGAGAGAAUUGAUGAGAACCUAAACAGACCUGUUGGAAAGGCUCCUCCAAAGAACAUGUUGAAGAGGUCCUCUGGGGUGAUAUCUGCUUCACAUCCCCUGUGGAAGUUAAAUCUACCAUUGC
Non-coding RNA from Pantherophis guttatus, 258 nucleotides. The record is from RefSeq and is a predicted model, not a curated record. NCBI's taxonomy places the organism in Eukaryota, Metazoa, Chordata, Lepidosauria, Squamata, Colubridae.